This is a long non-coding RNA of Populus euphratica (Euphrates poplar), 514 nucleotides long. RefSeq lists it as uncharacterized. The transcript has 2 exons. NCBI's taxonomy places the organism in Eukaryota, Viridiplantae, Streptophyta, Magnoliopsida, Malpighiales, Salicaceae. The record is from RefSeq and is a predicted model, not a curated record.
CACUAAAAAAAAUAAAUCAAUUUGAUGCUUUUUCAAGGCAGGUGCAAUUUUAAAAAGCACUAAAAAACAGAAGCUACCACAACCCCUAACAGGUUCUUAUGCCUAGGUCAAAAUUCACACAAUACAAAUACCAGCAGUAAAAAGGCACAGUUAUUCAAUUCUCUAAAAAGCACUCUGGUUCUUGGUGAGAAUUUUCUCUACAGGUUAUGCUUGCAUGGCAAUCUAAACAAGGGAACAUAAAGCUAAACCCAUAGAAACAGCAAGAUAAUACUCUGAACAGAUCACAAAUGCAGUUAGUGAUGUAAUAAUACUACCAAGCACCUAGUUCAAAGAAAAUACAAUAAGCACACUCAGAAGUGUUUAGAAGAUACAAUCUAGAUAAAGCACAAGGACCAGGUGGCAGAUGUACAAUCCAAUACAUAAGAAACCCUAAGAAAAAGAAAAGGAUAAGAUAAGGAUUAAGAAACAGCAGUUAUCUUUCCCUAAUGGGCAUAAAAUUUGACUGGAGCACGAU